This 447-nucleotide ribosomal RNA is filed under the name uncultured bacterium. Its description in RNAcentral is "partial 16S ribosomal RNA". It matches the Rfam family "Bacterial small subunit ribosomal RNA", at positions 29 to 523 of the family's 1533-position model. The record is from RNAcentral.
AACGAACGCUGGCGGCAGGCCUAACACAUGCAAGUCGAGCGCCCCGCAAGGGGAGCGGCAGACGGGUGAGUAACGCGUGGGAAUCUACCUAGUGGUACGGAAUAACCCCGGGAAACUUGGAGUAAUACCGUAUACGCCCGAAAGGGGAAAGAUUUAUCGCCAUUAGAUGAGCCCGCGUUGGAUUAGCUAGUUGGUGGGGUAACGGCCCACCAAGGCGACGAUCCAUAGCUGGUCUGAGAGGAUGAUCAGCCACACUGGGACUGAGACACGGCCCAGACUCCUACGGGAGGCAGCAGUGGGGAAUAUUGGACAAUGGGCGCAAGCCUGAUCCAGCCAUGCCGCGUGAGUGACGAAGGUCUUCGGAUUGUAAAGCUCUUUUGGCGGGGACGAUAAUGACGGUACCCGCAGAAUAAGCCCCGGCUAACUUCGUGCCAGCAGCCGCUGUAA